UGUCGGCAANACUUACCAUGCAAGUCGAACGGCAGCGCGGGCUUCGGCCUGGCGGCGAGUGGCGAACGGGUGAGUAAUACAUCGGAACGUGCCCUGUCGUGGGGGAUAACUAGUCGAAAGAUUAGCUAAUACCGCAUACGACCCGAGGGUGAAAGCGGGGGACCGGUAGGGGNCUCGCGCNAUGNGNGCGCCAUAUCUCAGAUUAUCUUUUGUGGGGGGUAAGCGCCCCCCAGCGACAAUAUCUAUCUCGUGUCAGAGGAGAAUAUCCCCCACUCUGACACAGACACACCCCCCACACC
RNAcentral lists this ribosomal RNA (299 nucleotides) under Cupriavidus pinatubonensis. RNAcentral describes it as "partial 16S ribosomal RNA". It matches the Rfam family "Bacterial small subunit ribosomal RNA", at positions 54 to 337 of the family's 1533-position model. The record is from RNAcentral. Lineage: Bacteria; Pseudomonadati; Pseudomonadota; Betaproteobacteria; Burkholderiales; Burkholderiaceae.